Long non-coding RNA from Cyprinus carpio carpio, 4568 nucleotides. NCBI's taxonomy places the organism in Eukaryota, Metazoa, Chordata, Actinopteri, Cypriniformes, Cyprinidae. The record is from Ensembl.
CGACAUUUUAUUGAAUGAUUAAAUACAAACAUUUUCAGGACAACAAAAACAUUAAAACAAGUUUUUCAUUGAUAUAUUCAUAAUAUACUCAUAUUUAUUAAAAUAUGACUUAGAGGAUUAGGAAAAAUACAUAAAAAAAGAUUUCUUUUUCUUUUCUUUUCUUUUUUAUUGUAUUUCUUUAUUCAUUUUUUUAGAUAAAGAGAUGUAAGUCGGUUCAAUUCUAAAGUAAUAGUCUGUCAGGAACUUUUUAUGUACAUACAAUAUACCAUAUAAAGCUACUAAAUUGACCUAAAUUUGAUUGAUCUAUAAUAACAAAUAUUUUUUUUUUUUUUUUUUUAAGUUAAAAAAAGGUAAUUUCAGGAGGAAUGCUCAAAUUAGAGCACAAAUCAGACCAUAAUUCACAAUAUUCACAAUUAAAUAAUAAUAAUAAUAAUAAACAAUAAAACUGCUAUCAAGUUGAAAGCUUACAGGCAAUAAUUUAAAGCAGAUUUCUUUAAAUUAGAGUAGGCUACUGAUUCAAUAGUCAUAUUCAAUAGCAAUAUAUUUAACUUUUUAUUUGAUUUUAUUUAUUUAUUAUUAUUAUUUUAAGCAAUAGAAUUGCUCUCUGCGUGUGAAAAGUUUGAAGAAGUUGCUGAAAGUGCAUUACAUUUAUUGCCAAAUAAACUAGUUAUGCUUUAUUUCAAAUAAACUGAGUCAGAUGAAAUAGUUACGCGCAACCCUAUUGCAACAUGACCUGAAGUUCUCCUGUUUCAUCAGCAGGGGGCGACAUUCAACUAUCUCGUAGUAACAGACCUCCUCAACCCGGUUAAAGUCUUCGAGAUUUUCUUAGGGUUAUGGAAGAUCUAUUAAUAAAAUUUGACUGAUAAAGACUGGUAAGAAAACAAUAUUUUGAAACUGGAGGUCUAUUUGCAGCGGAUUAACGUCACAAAACAAUUUCACAAAGGCAUAUUCUUUCACAUAUUCUGCCGAGACGAGCUUAAAUUAAGAGGUGUUUGAAGACGUAUUUAUAAAGCAGGCUAUCCCAUCUGUGUGUGUGUGUGUGUAUAUAUAUAUAUAUAUAUAUAUAUAUAUAUAUAUAUAUAUAUAUAUAUAUAUAUAUAUAUAUAUAUAUAUUUAUAUAUAUAUAUAUAUAUAUAUAUAUAUAUUUAUUUAAUACUUAAAUCUCUAAUCAUUCUUCCGUUUCGAACGAAAUUUUCAAUUUGUCUGUAUACUACAUGUCACAUGGAGCCAUAUUCGGACUUCUCUUCUAAGACAAAGAACAUCUGCAUGUAGGUUAAUCAUUCUACAUGCGUUCAGUCUUAAAUACUCGACACGUGUAAAUAAACAACGGCAUUAUGAUUUCAGAGGUCUCGAAAUGUAAAUGUGUCACUUUUCAUUUUAAUAUGGGCUAUUUCAUAAAUAAAAGUGACUAAAGUCAGGUGUGUGAGAUUCUGUUUGAGAUCAGCACCACUCAGCAUCAAACAAAACCUUUCUUAUAUAUUUAUUUUAAAGGAUUUCAAUGAUGAUAAUUAUGCAAUGAUCAAUUAAACUGUUGCAUUAAAACAAAAAUACCCUGAGAAAAGAAAUUAAUAAAUAUUAUUGUGAACACUGAUCGUUUAAGUCUCAGUUAACUUGGCUUUUGAUUUUUAAGAAUUGCCGAGGACCCUUUCAAUUAAAUAUAUAAUUAUAACUGAAUUUAUUUCAUAUUAUUCUUUAUACCUGCCUCCACUGUCCUAAUAACUUGACUUUAGCAGAUGUCCCAAUUGUUCUGAUGACAAACAUGGCUGCUAUCAUAUGCCACGCCCACCACUCAAUAAUCCUUAAAAUACUACCUAAAUUUGACCCACAAGUCGCAAUAUUUAAUUUUUUUGACAAGACUACCUAUUACAGAAGAUAUUUACAAUGUGCCAUGGCAUGUAAAACUUCAUUUGAGCCUUCAGUCUCACUGCAAAGUUGAAAUAGUGCUUCUAAGUGAGACUCCAACCACCAACACCAAAAGGAUGAUAAAAUGUUAAAAAUAUAUAUUUGGUGGAUGUCAAAAUGUGAAAUAACACAACUUUCUAUUAAAAGAGAUGUUGUUAUAUGCACUGUAAUAGCGAAUAUCACUCAGAAAUAAGUCUUUUUACGAAGCCUUUGAAUAUUCAAAUUGAAAGUAUCGCGCAAUCAAAUCAUUGUCAAAUCAUUGAGUUCUUGGGGUUUUAAAUAGUAGGGAUGAGGGCAGAAAAACUCAAACUAAAAUAUCCCUAGCUAUAUUACUGUAUAAUUGUAUGUCCUGAGAGUGUUUUGAGGUUACUUUAUUGAGACUUUUUAAGACUUUUGUGAAUAAUUCGUUCUUGCCCAUAUAACAGAGCAAAGAACUGAAGUUGGGGUAUUUUACUGUAGCUCUGCCAGAGAUUUCCUCCUUUUCAGACCAAUAUGUCUGCAGAUAAGCCCAAGGUGUACCAGGGUGUGCGUGUGAAGACCACUGUUAAGGAGUUACUGCAGAAGCACAGAGCCCUGCAGGCACAGAAAACCGCAACGAAAUCACAAGCCAUGGCUGCUCGCGAUGUCUGCUCUACGACCAUGAAUACCCACCUUGAUGUCUUUGGAAUGCAAGCUCCAGAGCCCUAUUUCCAGACACGUCCCUUUACCGAAAAUGUCAAUAUCCCGAUGGAGAAUGCUUAUGAUCAUCAACAAAUGAUGCACCUGAUGCCACAUGAGACUUUCAGCGGCAGUAAUUUCGUGUGUCCCACUUCUUCGCAGUGGUCUAAUGGAUAUAUUCCUUCUAACACGGACCUCUAUGGUACUAGCCUGGUAUCGAGAUCACCCUCUGAUACUUUCAAUCUCCCAAGUCCAGUCGACUACAACAGUUACUCUCCCCCUCAGUCCAACUCUUCAUCUUCUUCGUGCUACAGCUCUCCAACGCGGAUGGAUUUGAGCUCUAGUUUCUCUCCAGAAAAUUACCACUAUCAGCAUUGCAACCUACAGAAUUGCUUUUGUCUUUCGCAUUGGUCCAAUCUGCAGGAAGGCAUGGCAACCUCGGAGUUUGCGCCCUACGGCUCUUCAGACUGUUUGUAUUCAUAUGGCGACGACAGUUAUUUCAGAAGGGAUACUUCAAACUCAGAGAUGUGUUUCUUAUAAAAUGCAUUUUGAAGCUCUUUGCGCGAAAAUUCAGUGUCAUAAUUGAUUUAUUUGAAUGCAUUUGUUGUAUUUUAGAUUAGAUAAAAGAACAAGCAGUGAUAGAAUGCAUGAUUUACAAAUUAUUCAUUUAUCUUUUCUACAAUAAACAUAUUUUUUUCGUAAUUAUACUGGCAUUGGGGAAAUAUUUCAGAUUUACAGCGUGCAGUUUCUGUUUUCACUCUUGAAAUGUACAUCGGAGCUUCGAUAGUUUUUUUUUUUUUUACGUACAAAUACAGCUGUGGUACUGAGGGCUCAUUUAUUGUUUUGUAUAUCAACAUUCGACAUUAUGAAAAAUACCAGAAGAAAGCUUAACAAUGUGUUAUUUAUAAAAACAGAUUUUGUCCUGUAACUACAGCUGUUAACAUUUUUAUUUGCUCCUAACAAAUACACUGUAAAUGUCAACUCACACCGAAAACAUAAGUUUAAUCGUCUUCAUUAUUGUAAAGUAAAAACAAAGCAUGCAUUGCACUUUUUCAACCACUUUACUGAUUAAAUAUAAAGCUCACAAAAUUAGUUCAUUUGCAGAAGUUGUUUCUUAUAAGAAUAUUUGAUGAUUUAAGAUUUAUCUCACACCACAAACUGAUCAUGGAACAAGAAGUCAUUUUCACACACUUUCACCAAAAGAUAAAAUGGAAUGAAAGUCGCAGCCCCGUUUACUGAAGUUCAGAAGAAGCUAAAUUAAAAAAAAGACAACAUGAAUCCCACAAACUGCAUUUAAUGUAGCGAUAUCUCAAGAGCUUAACAAUUCCACAUGUAUAAAAUGGUAAACUGCUCAGGGACAAUCGUAUCAUAUAUAAAACAUGAUUUCUAAACGAUAAGCAGUAUAGGGCCUAUACACACUCAAAGGCUAUUCACUUUAAGUUUUCCAAAAAUAUAAAAUAGAAAUCAAUUCAUGCUUGGAUAUCUGUUUUUAAACAUGUCGAGACAUCAAUAUGUGUCUUUAACUUUGGAACAUGGCACGACUUAAUCAGUAAACGGUCACGCAAUGGUGUAUUCAUUAACUAUAGAAAUCGGGAAUGUUUUGCAGUCAAACAGAAGGGUGUGUACAGUGAUCCAGAAUUGGCAGACGCACACGCUUUGUACCCGCUGCUCACCAACUUGGAAUUCCCCUCGGGAAAGCAAAGGACAAGGAAGUCUUCCUUUAGCCACACGUUGACUUCUUUUUUACUUGAACUGCUUUCCCUCCCACUUCUGCACAACGUGAUGUCUGAUCGCGGAACUGAUCCCAGCACACACGUCUUCGUCUGACAAAAUAAAUAAAUAAAAUAAUAACAAACAAGGUUAUUGUUAUUUUUCUCAUAGAGUGCAGUCCAGCAAUAUAAUUUCCAUCAGACUUUAAGCACGCGGAUGGACUAGUCCGGGAAGCUCCAGUUCAAACUGGUUACGUUUUUGUAGGGAAACGAAAAGGAUUUCUGACUUUUUCACCUCAG